Molecule: long non-coding RNA, 480 nt
Filed under: Elaeis guineensis (African oil palm)
Lineage: Eukaryota; Viridiplantae; Streptophyta; Magnoliopsida; Arecales; Arecaceae
Description: long non-coding RNA (EGUI_LNC042672)
Source: RNAcentral
AUGAGGAGAGGAAAAGUGUUGAACGAAGUGAUAGUGACCUCAGCUUGGUUCAUAUCAUGCUCAUUAAUGCUUGAACAUGUGGCAGUGGCUAGUUGGUUAAAAUGAACCAUCGCAUGCCUCGGGUGCGAUCGUGGGGAUCUAUGGGAACUCAACUCUGCCAAUCCCGAGUUGACAUGUGUCGAGCAUCCAAUGGCUUAAUUGGGGCUAGUGUUUGAUCUGAACCAUCCCCACCAUCUAUAAAUAGUGGUAUGCCUCAUUUGACCCUACUUCCUUUGUGCUGAUGUUGAGGUCUGAUAAUUUUCGGUGAGAGCUCGACUAUUUUCUGGUGUACUCUUGAUAAUUUCCAACCACCUUUUGGCGAGAGCUCCAACUAAUGAUCCAAGGUUAGCUUCGCUUCGGAUCGGCCUCAUCCUUUGUUUUUUUUUAUUUAAAAAAAACUAUUUUUUGAAAUCUUCUCUAGAGAUGAGCGGUACUCUCAGU